RNAcentral lists this ribosomal RNA (253 nucleotides) under uncultured bacterium. RNAcentral describes it as "partial 16S ribosomal RNA". It matches the Rfam family "Bacterial small subunit ribosomal RNA", at positions 524 to 776 of the family's 1533-position model. The record is from RNAcentral.
UACGUAGGGUGCAAGCGUUAAUCGGAAUUACUGGGCGUAAAGCGUGCGCAGGCGGUUUUGUAAGUCUGACGUGAAAUCCCCGGGCUCAACCUGGGAAUUGCGUUGGAGACUGCAAGGCUAGAAUCUGGCAGAGGGGGGUAGAAUUCCACGUGUAGCAGUAAAAUGCGUAGAGAUGUGGAGGAACACCGAUGGCGAAGGCAGCCCCCUGGGUCAAGAUUGACGCUCAUGCACGAAAGCGUGGGGAGCAAACAGG